UGGGGAAUUUUGCACAAUGGGCGCAAGCCUGAUGCAGCGACGCCGCGUGAGGGAUGAAGGCCUUCGGGUUGUAAACCUUUUUCGCUCAUGGUCAAGCCGCAGCUUUGGGUUGUGGUGAGGGUAGUGGGUAAAGAAGCGCCGGCUAACUACGUGCCAGCAGCCGCGGUAAUACGUAGGGCGCGAGCGUUGUCCGGAAUUAUUGGGCGUAAAGCGAGCGCAGGCGGUCAAUUAAGUCUGAUGUGAAAGCCCCCGGCUCAACCGGGGAGGGUCAUUGGAAACUGGUUGACUUGAGUGCAGAAGAGGAGAGUGGAAUUCCAUGUGUAGCGGUGAAAUGCGUAGAUAUAUGGAGGAACACCAGUGGCGAAGGCGACUCUCUGGUCUGUAACUGACGCUGAGGUUCGAAAGCGUGGGUAGCAAACAGG
RNAcentral lists this ribosomal RNA (422 nucleotides) under Bacteroidota bacterium. RNAcentral describes it as "Bacteroidetes bacterium partial 16S ribosomal RNA". It matches the Rfam family "Bacterial small subunit ribosomal RNA", at positions 355 to 776 of the family's 1533-position model. The record is from RNAcentral. Lineage: Bacteria; Pseudomonadati; Bacteroidota.